GUGAGUGAAGAAGGCCUCGGGUUGUAAAGCUCUUUCAGACGGAAAGAAAACCGACCCCUCCUAAGUACGGGGGGUGGAUGACGGUACUGUCAGAAGAAGCACCGGCUAACGUACGUGCCAGCAGCCGCGGUAAUACGUAGGGUGCGAGCGUUAAUCGGAAUUACUGGGCGUAAAGCGUGCGCAGGCGGUUGUGUAAGACAGGUGUGAAAUCCCCCGGGCUUAACCUGGGAACUGCGCUUGUGACUGCACGGCUAGAGUACGGCAGAGGGGGGUGGAAUUCCACGUGUAGCAGUGAAAUGCGUAGAUAUGUGGAGGAACACCGAUGGCGAAGGCAGCCCCCUGGGCCGAUACUGACGCUCAUGCACGAAAGCGUGGGGAGCAAACAGGAUUAGAUACCCUGGUAGUCCACGCCCUAAACGAUGUCGACUAGUCGUUCGGAGAGGUAACUCACUGAGUGACGCAGCUAACGCGUGAAGUCGACCGCCUGGGGAGUACGGCCGCAAGGUUA
RNAcentral lists this ribosomal RNA (508 nucleotides) under uncultured Pseudomonadota bacterium. RNAcentral's name for it is "bacterial SSU rRNA". It matches the Rfam family "Bacterial small subunit ribosomal RNA", at positions 401 to 896 of the family's 1533-position model. Lineage: Bacteria; Pseudomonadati; Pseudomonadota. The record is from RNAcentral.